AUUUAUGUAGUUUAAAAUAAAACCUUACAUUUUCACUGUAAAAAUAAGAUUUUUUUAUCUUUAUAGAUA
Molecule: transfer RNA, 69 nt
Filed under: Furcatopanorpa longihypovalva
Lineage: Eukaryota; Metazoa; Arthropoda; Insecta; Mecoptera; Panorpidae
Description: tRNA-Glu
Rfam family: tRNA
About the family: Transfer RNA (tRNA) molecules are approximately 80 nucleotides in length. Their secondary structure includes four short double-helical elements and three loops (D, anti-codon, and T loops).
Source: RNAcentral